CGUUUGACCUCGGAUCAGGUAGGGAUACCCGCUGAACUUAAGCAUAUCAAUAAGCGGAGGAAAAGAAACCAACAGGGAUUGCCCUAGUAACGGCGAGUGAAGCGGCAACAGCUCAAAUUUGAAAUCUGGCUCUUUUAGAGUCCGAGUUGUAAUUUGCAGAGGGCGCUUUGGCUUUGGCAGCGGUCCAAGUUCCUUGGAACAGGACGUCACAGAGGGUGAGAAUCCCGUACGUGGUCGCUAGCUAUUGCCGUGUAAAGCCCCUUCGACGAGUCGAGUUGUUUGGGAAUGCAGCUCUAAAUGGGAGGUAAAUUUCUUCUAAAGCUAAAUAUUGGCCAGAGACCGAUAGCGCACAAGUAGAGUGAUCGAAAGAUGAAAAGCACUUUGGAAAGAGAGUCAAACAGCACGUGAAAUUGUUGAAAGGGAAGCGCUUGCAGCCAGACUUGCUUGCAGUUGCUCAUCCGGGCUUUUGCCCGGUGCACUCUUCUGCAGGCAGGCCAGCAUCAGUUUGAGCGGUGGGAUAAAGGUCUCUGACACGUUCCUUCCUUCGGGUUGGCCAUAUAGGGGAGACGUCAUACCACCAGCCUGGACUGAGGUCCGCGCAUCUGCUAGGAUGCUGGCGUAAUGGCUGUAAGCGGCCCGUCUUGAAACACGGACCAAGGAGUCUAACAUCUAUGCGAGUGUUUGGGUGUCAAGCCCGAGCGCGUAAUGAAAGUGAACGGAGGUGGGAACCCGCAAGGGUGCACCAUCGACCGAUCCUGAAGUUUACGGAAGGAUUUGAGUAAGAGCAUGGCUGUUGGGACCCGAAAGAUGGUGAACUAUGCUUGAAUAGGGUGAAGCCAGAGGAAACUCUGGUGGAGGCUCGCAGCGGUUCUGACGUGCAAAUCGAUCGUCAAAUUUGGGCAUAGGGGCGAAAGACUAAUCGAACUAUCUAGUAGCUGGUUCCUGCCGAAGUUUCCCCUCAGGAUAGCAGUAACGUAUUCAGUUUU
RNAcentral lists this ribosomal RNA (986 nucleotides) under uncultured Ascomycota. RNAcentral describes it as "eukaryotic LSU rRNA". It matches the Rfam family "Eukaryotic large subunit ribosomal RNA", at positions 1 to 1002 of the family's 3401-position model. Lineage: Eukaryota; Fungi; Ascomycota. The record is from RNAcentral.